RNAcentral lists this ribosomal RNA (397 nucleotides) under uncultured bacterium. RNAcentral describes it as "bacterial SSU rRNA". It matches the Rfam family "Bacterial small subunit ribosomal RNA", at positions 521 to 916 of the family's 1533-position model. The record is from RNAcentral.
UAAUACAGAGGUGUCUAGCGUUGUCCGGAAUUACUGGGCGUAAAGGGCGUGUAGGUGGGCGUGUAAGUCGGAUGUGAAAUCACCGGGCUUAACCCGGUAACUGCAUCCGAAACUGCUCGUCUUGAGUGCAGAAGAGGAGAGUGGAAUUCCCAGUGUAGCGGUGAAAUGCGUAGAUAUUGGGAGGAACACCAGUGGCGAAGGCGGCUCUCUGGUCUGCAACUGACACUGAAACGCGAAAGCUAGGGGAGCAAACGGGAUUAGAUACCCCGGUAGUCCUAGCCGUAAACUAUGAGCACUAGGUGUAGGAGGUAUCGACCCCUUCUGUGCCGCAGCUAACGCAUUAAGUGCUCCGCCUGGGGACUACGACCGCAAGGUUGAAACUUAAAUGAAUUGACGG